This 464-nucleotide ribosomal RNA is filed under the name Salmonella enterica subsp. enterica serovar Lubbock. RNAcentral describes it as "bacterial SSU rRNA". It matches the Rfam family "Bacterial small subunit ribosomal RNA", at positions 338 to 795 of the family's 1533-position model. The record is from RNAcentral. Lineage: Bacteria; Pseudomonadati; Pseudomonadota; Gammaproteobacteria; Enterobacterales; Enterobacteriaceae.
CCUACGGGUGGCAGCAGUGGGGAAUCUUCCGCAAUGGGCGCAAGCCUGACGGAGCAACGCCGCGUGAGUGAAGAAGGUUUUCGGAUCGUAAAGCUCUGUUGAGAGGGACGAGAGGCAAGGCUAGGAAAUGAGCUUUGUAGGACGGUACCUUUCGAGGAAGCCACGGCUAACUACGUGCCAGCAGCCGCGGUAAUACGUAGGUGGCGAGCGUUGUCCGGAAUUAUUGGGCGUAAAGGGAGCGCAGGUGGGAAAGUAAGUCAGUCUUAAAAGUGCGGGGCUCAACCCCGUGAGGGGAUUGAAACUACUUUUCUUGAGUGCAGGAGAGGAAAGCGGAAUUCCUAGUGUAGCGGUGAAAUGCGUAGAUAUUAGGAGGAACACCAGUGGCGAAGGCGGCUUUCUGGACUGUAACUGACACUGAGGCUCGAAAGCCAGGGGAGCGAACGGGAUUAGAUACCCUUGUAGUC